Molecule: ribosomal RNA, 465 nt
Filed under: uncultured bacterium
Lineage: Bacteria
Description: partial 16S ribosomal RNA
Rfam family: Bacterial small subunit ribosomal RNA
Source: RNAcentral
GAUGAACGCUGGCGGCGUGCUUAACACAUGCAAGUCGAACGGAAAGGCUCCUGCUUGCAGGGGUACUCGAGUGGCGAACGGGUGAGUAACACGUGGGUGAUCUGCCCUGCACUUCGGGAUAAGCCUGGGAAACUGGGUCUAAUACCGGAUAGGACGAUGGUUUGGAUGCCAUUGUGGAAAGUUUUUCGGUGUGGGAUGAGCUCGCGGCCUAUCAGCUUGUUGGUGGGGUAAUGGCCUACCAAGGCGUCGACGGGUAGCCGGCCUGAGAGGGUGUACGGCCACAUUGGGACUGAGAUACGGCCCAGACUCCUACGGGAGGCAGCAGUGGGGAAUAUUGCACAAUGGGCGCAAGCCUGAUGCAGCGACGUCGCGUGGGGGAUGACGGCCUUCGGGUUGUAAACUCCUUUCGCUAGGGACGAAGCGCAAGUGACGGUACCUGGAGAAGAAGCACCGGCUAACUACGUG